Molecule: RNA transcript, 6945 nt
Organism: Felis catus (domestic cat)
Lineage: Eukaryota; Metazoa; Chordata; Mammalia; Carnivora; Felidae
Gene: SENP1
Gene name: SUMO specific peptidase 1
Exons: 22
Source: RefSeq, a predicted model, not a curated record
AUGGUCCCCGGGCUUCUCAGGCCUGGCCACACUGCGCAGGCGUCCCCCGAGUCCUCAACUCUGCUCUUUGACCUCCCGCCCCACCCCCGCCCCUCCACAGCCACCGGACGGCUCUUCCGGUGUUGUGGAGGUUGUUCCGGUUCGCGGCGGUUCCCGGGUUUUGCGUUCCGCGCCCGGCCGGAAACCCCUUCGCAUAGCAGCCGGUUCCGGUUCGAACUUUGUAUCUUUGCUAAAGUCAGUGAUGUGAAAAGACCUGACAUGGAUGAUAUUGCUGAUAGGAUGAGGAUGGAUGCUGGAGAAGUAACAUUAGUGAACCACAACUCCAUAUUCAAAACCCAUCUCCUGGGACAAACAGGUUUUCCAGAGGACCAGCUUUCACUUUCUGACCAUCAGAUAUUACCUUCCAGGGAAGGAAAUCUGGACCGAUCUUAUACAUGUUCUACAAGAAGUGCAGCUUAUAAUCCAAAUUAUUAUUCAGGAUUCUUUGUCAGCAAGAUGAGAUCUCCUCCCCUAAAAAGACACAACCCUUCCUCAGACAGUUUUCUUGGCUCAGGAGAUUUAAGAACCUUUGGCCAGAGUGCAAAUGGCCAGUGGAGAAAUUCCACUCCAGCAUCAGGUUCAACUUUACAAAAAUCAAGAAACAGCCGAAGUCUUUACCUCGAAACCCGAAAGACCUCAAGUGGAUUAUCAAACACUUUUACAGGAAAGGCAAAUCAUCACUGCCAUGUGUCUGCAUACGAAAAAUCUUUUCCUAUUAAGCCUGUCCCAAGUCCAUCUUGGAGUGGUUCAUGUCGCCGAAACCUCUUGAGCCCCAAGAAAACUCAGAGGCGACAUGUUAGUACAGCAGAAGAGACAGUCCAAGAAGAAGAAAGAGAGAUUUACAGACAGCUACUACAGAUGGUUACAGGGAAACAGUUUUCUGUAGCCAAACCCACCACACAUUUUCCUUUACACCUGUCCCGAUGUCUUAGUUCUAAUAAGAAUACUUUGAAAGACCCACUGUUUAAAAAUGGAAGUUCUUGUGCAGCUCAGAUUAUUGGCUCUGACACUUCAUCAUCUGGAUCUGCCAGCAUUUUAACUACCCAGGAACAAGUGUCCCACAGUGUGUAUUCCUUAUCGUCUUAUGCCCCAGAUGUUGUUGCAUUUGGAUCCAAAGAUUCUGAUCCUCUCCAUCAACCCCAACAUCACCACUCUCUUCUACAUCAGCCAGACAACUUACCAGCUUCAAAUACACAAUCGGAAGGAUCAGACUCUGUGAUUUUACUCAAAGUGAAAGAUUCCCAGACUGCAACUCCCAGUCCUGCAUUUUUCCAGGCAGAGCUGUGGAUCAAAGAAUUAACUAGUGUUUAUGAUUCUCGAGCACGGGAGAGAUUGCGCCAGAUUGAAGAGCAGAAAGCACUAGCAUUGCAGCUUCAAAACCAGAGACUGCAGGAACAGGAACAUUCAGUACAUGAUUCAGUAGAACUGCAUCUUCGUGUCCCUCUUGAAAAGGAGAUCCCUGUAACGAUCACCCAAGAAACAGAAAAGAAAGGUCAUAAAUUAACUGAUAGUGAAGAUGAAUUUCCUGAAAUCACAGAGGAAAUGGAGAAGGAAAUAAAAAAUGUAUUUCGUAAUGGGAACCAAGAUGAAGUUCUGAGUGAAGCAUUCCGCUUGACCAUUACACGCAAAGAUAUUCAAACUCUGAACCAUCUGAACUGGCUCAAUGAUGAGAUCAUCAAUUUCUACAUGAAUAUGUUGAUGGAGCGAAGUAAAGAGAAGGGAUUACCAAGUGUGCAUGCAUUUAAUACCUUUUUUUUCACUAAGUUAAAAACGGCUGGUUAUCAGGCAGUGAAACGUUGGACAAAGAAAGUGGAUGUGUUUUCUGUUGACAUUCUUUUGGUGCCCAUUCACCUGGGAGUGCACUGGUGUCUUGCUGUUGUGGACUUUCGAAAGAAGAAUAUUACCUAUUACGACUCUAUGGGUGGGAUAAACAAUGAAGCCUGCAGGAUCCUCCUCCAAUACCUAAAGCAAGAAAGCAUUGACAAGAAAAGGAAAGAGUUUGACACCAAUGGCUGGCAGCUCUUCAGCAAGAAAAGCCAGGAAAUUCCACAGCAGAUGAAUGGAAGUGAUUGUGGCAUGUUUGCCUGCAAAUAUGCUGACUGCAUUACCAAAGACAGACCAAUCAACUUCACACAGUGCUCGUAAUGACCUACCUCCCCUUAAAAAGGAACACUCGAGAGAUGAUGAACUCUAUCUAGAUAUAGAGCCUUCAACAGAAACCACAGUCCCAACAAUCACUCAUGGACCCUGUACAGAGAAAAUCAGAACAUUUGAGAAUACAUGGCCCAAGGCAUGGAGGGAGAAGACUCCUACAAAGUGGAACCUGGAUCAGAUCAUGAGUCAAAGUCAACCUCUGUCCCCAGCUGCUCCUGGGAUGCCUGGCGUGGCCUUGCACUGCAGAAAGUUACAAAGGGCCUGGGGAGAAGGUGCCUCAAACAGUGGAAGGAGAGGAUUGUUGAAGGAGUGAAGGAAUUACUCAGCGUCCCUUCCAUUUUGACAGCCUCUUCUCCAAACCUUGGGUCUGGUUUACUGUAAAAGCCGGGGUCUCUGGCUUCAAAUGCAUUAUCCACCUAGCAGAACUAUCUCCUUCCAAUAACAUUAACAGUAAGAAUAAGCAUUUAUUGAGGCCUUUUGUGCCAAACACUUUAUAUACAUUACCUCAUUUAAUCCUGACAAGUGCAUGACAUAGGUGCUGUUACUAUCCCUAUUUCUCAGAUGAGAAACCACAGAGCGUAGGGGUUGGCUAAGUUAGCCCAAAGUCUCAGAGUGACAGUGAUAGGAAGAGGGACUCCAAGCCAAGAACAUAUGUCCCCAAAUCCCUUAGAAAGCCCCAUGAGGUGCUGCUUCCACACAGCCAGCACUGUUGCAUCUUAACAGGGCAAGCACCUGACGUGGACAUCAUGGGAGCUCUAUCAAUGUGAAACCAAAGAAGAAAACUUUGGUGAGGUCUGCAAAGGCUAACCCUCCCUCUUUUGUCUCCUGAGAGGGAUUGAGGUCCUUGUCUCUUCACCUUAGAUUGGAGGGUCAAGCGGCAUGGUGGGGUCCCUCUGCCUUUGGGUUCAUUUCCUCUCGGCUUCUCCAGAAAGAGGUACCGAGGAAUUCCCUUCACGCCUCCUACCACAACCCGUUCUCCCACUGCCUUUCUUUUGCCUCCCACUCUCAUCCCCAAUUCUGGGUUGCCCACAUUAGCACGUUUUCCUUUGAGGCCUCUGGUCCUAACCUAGAAGGGGGAAGGGCUGAAGAUAGGAGGGUGAUGGGGAGGGAGACACCAAGCAGGUGGAGCUCAUCCCCACAGGGGCCCAGGAAUCAAGGGUGUGUGCAUGGGGACAUCUGGAGACAUUUCUGGUGUUCCACAGUGUUCCAUUUUGUCUUUUCGCUUGUUUCUGUGUUUCAUGCUCUGUCCCCUCCGUAUGGAGUUUCCUCAGCCAUUCCAACUGGUUUGAGAAUCUCAGGAAUGUGUAGCCCUGUGCCCUCCUGCUCCCCACCCCCACCUCCAUACACAGAGCCCCUGUAGAGGUGGAACUUAGUUCAAGCUAGAGGCCGGCCGAGUGGGGGAGGGUCCUCCUCUUUUACUGGAGAAGAAAGACAACACACCCUUCCUCCCACCCUCUCUCUGAUUUCUUCCCCAAAAUCAGUCUGCCACUUGCAGCUCCCUCUCACACAGACUGGCCUUUCCCACCCUCACCCCUCACUGGGGGCCUCUGUUGAUGGUAAUUACUCCUAAUUGUUUUCUCUUGGCUCACGAGGCCUUCCUUGCCUGCCCUGAGCCAACAGUUCUGUGUCUGCUCAGAAAAUGGGCUCAACUCAGACCAGAGGCAAACCUCUUUGGGUCUCAAAACCCAGACUUUAGAUCUAAUACAGAGGGCAGUUUUGACCAUGGGUGAGCUGUAAGGAAGGCUGCUGCUUGGACUCAAGGCAGAUUGCAGCAAGAAAUACUGAUCAGACUUCAGGAGCACAUUCCAGCAGCAAGGCUCCUGGAGAAGCUCUAAGCAUUUUCUUCCAUGAGGAUCUUAGUAGCAGAGAGCUUGGGCCUGGCCUGGGGGACUGGACUCCUGAAUGGGGUCUCUGAGCCCUGCAGCUGAGGCCUUGGUGGUAUGGAGCUGCCUAUCUUACCGUCCAAGGCCUUUCUCCACCGGAAGACCAGCCUCCGGCCCCAUACAUCAUCCUAUGCCAGUGGGGUGAGCAGGCCUUUUGCCAGAGCUUGAGACGAGACCAUCACAGUCACACAUAUGUAAGCAUGGAGGCUUUGUAUUGCUCCCUCCUGGUGCCCCCAGCGUCUGGAUCAAUACUAUGGUAACUGGUGUAGGGAGGAAGAUGAGGGUGAGAGAGGGGGACUGGGGAUGGUGGGGGUAGACAUGCACACAUUGUCCCUUUUUCCCUCUGCAGGGCUGCUGACCCUGAUUCAUUCUACCUCCAGAGGAAGAUCCUUAGUGAUCCAGGGCUCUUUACAAUCCUAUAUAGCCCUUGGAAAAUUAUUUUGGGGUGUUAGCCAGAGAGAAGAGAGGACAUAGAAGUGUUUAAUUAAUUAAUUAAUUCAAAAAUAACUAAGUGCCUACUCUAUGCCAGAUCCCUGUGUUAGGUGCUGGAAAUGUCCUCAGUCUCCCAGUCCAAGCACAUAACACUUUGCUCUGGUCCCAGCCUAAAACAUUUUGUCCCCAGGCCCUGUUCCUGGCACCACCACCAUCAGCCUGAGCCUCCUCUCUCUGGUGCAUUCCACGCCUCCCUGACUCACUGCUACUUUGUUCAGCUGCAGAGCACAUUUUCUAGUGAGCAGAGAAGCCUCUGCAAGAAGGGGCCUGAGGAAUAGACAUGAGGAUGGAGAAAAGUGACUGCACUAGUUUGCAUUCCCACCAACAGUGCAAGAGGAACCAGUGAACUUGUGGAACUUUCCAGAACUCUAUAGGAGUUGAGUGCUUGUAAGUGAUACAAACAUGGCCAUUGAAAAUCCACUCAAUCAUCUAAGGUCAGUGUCAAACCCACCCUGUACUACUUAGUGCCUGAAGUUUUCUCACAUGACUCCCACUCCUAUACCCCCAGCUUGGGGAACUGCACACCUUAUAUCUAUGAAGAGCCCAGGUCAGGCUCAACUGAGGGUCUCCCAUCUGAUGGACUUGGGAUGGGGUCACACUGGGGUCACACUGGAGGGUCAAGCCCAGCAGGGUUUAGGAGGAAAGAAAGAAUGGUGAUAGAUAUUAGAAAUAAUAAUCAUGAUUCUGAUGUGUAUUGAGUGCUUAACAUGUGCUAAGCAUUGUGUAACCAACCAAUGAAGUGAAUAAUAUCAUUAUUCCCAUUUUAUAGAUGAGGAAAUGAGUUCAGUCAAAAUUGUCAAUUGCUCAGGAUCCCUCCACCAGUAAGUGGUAGAAGCUAACACUGACAGCAAGUCCGUUUGACUCCAAAGUCUUUUAAAAAGAGAAGGAGCGAGAGGGCAUUGAGGGGACAGCCCCAUCCCUGGUGACAUUUCAGGUGAAUUGAGUUCCUCAGUGCAGCAUUUGGGGCACAAAGCUGCAUCAGAAAUCUCCUCUGGGGAGAAAGGGCCAGAGCCAGCAGUCUGCCUGAGCCAGUCCUUGGGGGUAUGAGGACAGCAAGCAGGCUGGGCUGAAGGCACUGGCUCUUGAGGGCUUUCACCAGGUCUCAAAGACCUCUUUGUUCAGUGCUCCGACUUCUACAAAGAACUCUCCAACCCAGAGUCCUCUGGAACCUUGGCCUGAUCCACCAGCAUACAAGGGUCUCCAGUCCCACUCACCCUCUGCCAGAGAACAGCUAGCCCCCAUGAAGCCAUGGGGUCUCUAAAAGGGUGGGUGGCUGAGGAACCAGGGCCAGACAGCUAGGGACAGGGAGUGGGCAGGAGGGACUAGGUCAGGGAGAAUGAGAGUGGGGGGGCUGCCUGCUGGCUGCUCCCCAAACAAACACAUUUUCUCCUUUUGAGGCAGAGAAUCAAAGAGUUACCAGCUGUUUAUUUUUACAUUGCUUAAAAGAGUUUUGCAAAUUCUUACCAAUUGCUGUUGAAGAGCUCAGAAUUUUCCCCCAACCACUUGAUACAGUUCCCCAACCUCUUUCCACAAUCCUUCCCAUUGCCCCCUCAGCCUCUGCUAUAUCAAAAUGAGCAGGGUAAGGGGCAUCUGGCUGGCUUAGAAGGUCGAGUAUGUACGCUUUGAUCUCGGGGUCAUGAGCUGAAGCUUCACGUUGGGCAUAGAGCUAAUUAUAAAAAAGAAAAAAAUACAAGAACAGGAAAAGUAGGAAAAUAUGACAGUUGAACUCUUAAUGGAUGUCCUUGCACUUAAUUCCAGCCCCUCAUUCCCAGACUGGAGUCUAGAAGGAACUAGAGAACACAGGAAGGAACCCUAGUCCCAAGGAGCUCUGGAGGAUGCCAUGGAUCCCCUAGGGAGGGGGAGCAAGGAAUCUCCAACUCCUUUCCUAGCCCCGCUGCUGGACCCUCCUAACACCCUCCUCUGCCAUCCUUGUCACUCUUUUUGCCUUGGCCCUUCUGGAUUUGGGCUCCACCUCCUUCCUGAGGGUGAGGAUGGUGGUCUUUGUUGCAUUUCCCCAACCCCAGAAGAAUAUGACUUAUAGCUCUACCAGAGCCUCAUUUCUGUGACUUUGUUUCCUUGUCCUCCUUUGCAAGGGACAGUAUGAGGCUGUUCUCAGAGAGCUUUCGUUUCUCCCCACUCAUGGAACACUUCCUGCAGGUGCCCUGGUCUCUGCUUGCAGUCACUUCCUGCUCCAGCACAGGCAUCUUCCCAGCCUGAUAGCCUGGCCCAACUUCACAGCCAAUUCCAGAGACUUCCUGUCUUUGCAGAGCAGUGUGACCUAGGGGCCUCAGGGACUGAGAUGGUUCAAAUGCGGGCUAGAAACUACUUAGGACACCAGUAGGGAGUGGGGACACCAAAUAAAAAAUUAAUCACUUAA